AAGUCGUAACAAGGUUUCCGUAGGUGAACCUGCGGAAGGAUCAUUAGAAAUCACCGGCCUAGCCGGUAUAAAAUUUUCUAUCCACCUUGUGUGCAAACAAUGGAAAAAGAGAGAAAAUUGGAUACUUUUUUGUAUUCAACUUCUCUAAAAUUCUUUAUAAACUCCAUCAAAUUUUGAAUAAAAACAAUUUUUUUUUAAUAAAAAAAUAUUAUACAACUUUCAACAACGGAUCUCUUGGCUCUC
RNAcentral lists this unclassified non-coding RNA (243 nucleotides) under fungal sp. Its description in RNAcentral is "partial internal transcribed spacer region". The stretch from base 1 to 46 matches the Rfam family "Eukaryotic small subunit ribosomal RNA", at positions 1786 to 1831 of the family's 1831-position model. The record is from RNAcentral. Lineage: Eukaryota; Fungi.